CGGUUCGUAAAACUCUGUUGCAAGGGAAGAACAAGUAGCGUAGUAACUGGCGCUACCUUGACGGUACCUUGUUAGAAAGCCACGGCUAACUACGUGCCAGCAGCCGCGGUAAUACGUAGGUGGCAAGCGUUGUCCGGAAUUAUUGGGCGUAAAGCGCGCGCAGGUGGUUCCUUAAGUCUGAUGUGAAAGCCCCCGGCUCAACCGGGGAGGGUCAUUGGAAACUGGGGAACUUGAGUGCAGAAGAGGAUAGUGGAAUUCCAAGUGUAGCGGUGAAAUGCGUAGAGAUUUGGAGGAACACCAGUGGCGAAGGCGACUGUCUGGUCUGUAACUGACACUGAGGCGCGAAAGCGUGGGGAGCAAACAGGAUUAGAUACCCUGGUAGUCCACGCCGUAAACGAUGAGUGCUAAGUGUUGGGGGGUUUCCGCCCCUCAGUGCUGCAGCUAACGCAUUAAGCACUCCGCCUGGGGAGUACGGUCGCAAGACUGAAACUCAAAGA
The sequence is a ribosomal RNA, 497 nucleotides long. It matches the Rfam family "Bacterial small subunit ribosomal RNA", at positions 419 to 907 of the family's 1533-position model.